UGUUUAUAACAUGGAGUUUGAUGCAGGUCAGGUGGUAUUUUAUGGUGUUUUUAACAUGUAGUUUGGUGCAGGUCAGGUGGUAUUUUAUGGUGUUUUUAACAUGUAGUUUGGUGCAGGUCAGGUGGUAUUUUAUGGUGUUUUUAACAUGUAGUUUGGUGCAGGUCAGGUGGUAUUUUAUGGUGUUUUUAACAUGGAGUUUGGUGCAGGUCAGGAGGUGUGGUGCCAAUGUUAGAUGUGGUAUUUUAUGGUGUUUUUAACAUGGAGUUUGGUGCAGGUCAGGUGGUAUUCUAUGGUGUUUUUAACAUGUAGUUUGGUGCAGGUCAGGAGGUGUGGUGCUAAUGUUA
Sebastes umbrosus (honeycomb rockfish) is the source of this 344-nucleotide long non-coding RNA. RefSeq lists it as uncharacterized. The transcript has 2 exons. The record is from RefSeq and is a predicted model, not a curated record. NCBI's taxonomy places the organism in Eukaryota, Metazoa, Chordata, Actinopteri, Perciformes, Sebastidae.